GAGGUCCAGGUUAAAUAUUUCAUAUGUUUCACUGCCUGCCAUUAUGAGGCAUUUUUCCAUUUUUUUUCUUCAUUUGUUAGAUGUUUGAAUUGAGAUGUAAAUCAUAGAGUUGGAACGAACAGGAUCCAAUGUCUCCUUUGUGGUUUCAUGGAUGGAAGAGUGGAAUUCACUUGAAUUUCAGAAAACAUCCGUUUGCUGCGUCGUGGACAUAACCAUGGAAAUCCCGUGGUUCUUAUCAUGACAACCAGUGGUCAUACAUGCGCGUACAGUUUCCUGCAGAAACCUACGCUUCAUUCAACCACCAGCAUGACUGUCAGCACAUAACAAUCACCCCAGGACCGCAGUGACCCAUGUUUUUGUUUUUUCUUUACAGCCGUGUAGACCAAUGGAAAUUCAAAUUCGGUCUCAGUGAGAAAAUCCAGUUAAGAAGAUCCAGCAGUUCCAGUAGAUGGUGAGAAUUUCCUGUAACCCGGAUCUACUUUGCCACUGAAACGACCAGAGGAACUCUCUUUUUUGGGGUUUCCCAACCGUAGGAAGCAAAUGUCCAUCCAGCCCACGGGUUAAUCCGUCUUCCUGUCACUCUGCGUGUGUUUGUGCAUAGGAUUGUCGAGAAGAGACAAAGAUGCUGUGUGUCUAUUAUUUGCUAAAGUUAGUUUGUCAUGUCAUGUGUCUGUUCAUUCGUGCUCUCUUUAUGUUUCUCAUCCUCAGUGUGGGUUAGCAGGUUAGCUGCAGAGCUGAAGAAAAUGGAUGGAGAUGCAAAUAAAUCAGGCUCAUGAUUUUCUAGUUAAAUACAAAGGGAUGGAUUGUGGUGUGUUGUUCCACAUGUAAACUCUAAAGAAAAACAAAAGAGAAGGCAAUACAUUUGUUUGAUGCUGGCUAAGAAUGUCAUUUUUCUUUCUUGAGGAAAAGUUACUUUGAUUAUAUUACAUUUGUUAUACUCUGUAGAUGUAACCACUUCACAUAAUCAUAAUAAAAGUUAUUUUAGCCACUCAUUUUGUUAAUGUUUCAAUCAACGACAUCACAGAAUAUUUGUACAGGUAACCUUUUUGUCAGAAUCCCAGAGGGACUUUGAAUGUUUAAACAUUAACCUUCAAAAGUCAUUGCCACCUACUUGUAUGCAAAUAAACCUUGUUAAAGUUUAAAAUGUUGACUCGCUUGUCUGAAACUGCUUUGUUAAGCUAAUAUAGGAGUAGGUGGAGCAUCAGUGAAAUGUCACACCUUUUGGGUUUAACCUGUACGAAGAACGAGGGAGACGACAGCAAGAUCUCUCCAGCCGAGUUGGACUUGUGCGCAGCUUUAUCCUGGAUCCUGCAGAAUAUCUACACACUCACCUUCAACUCCAAGGGACAAGCAAGUCAUUUGAGUACAUUUACAAAACACUUUAAAUGUUUUAGGCAGGGACAUUUCGUAUGGCAGAU
Long non-coding RNA from Trematomus bernacchii (emerald rockcod), 1418 nucleotides. RefSeq lists it as uncharacterized. NCBI's taxonomy places the organism in Eukaryota, Metazoa, Chordata, Actinopteri, Perciformes, Nototheniidae. The record is from RefSeq and is a predicted model, not a curated record. The transcript has 3 exons.